Molecule: ribosomal RNA, 660 nt
Filed under: uncultured bacterium
Lineage: Bacteria
Description: bacterial SSU rRNA
Rfam family: Bacterial small subunit ribosomal RNA
Source: RNAcentral
AGAGUUUGAUCCUGGCUCAGGACGAACGCUGGCGGUGUGCUUCACACAUGCAAGUCGAACGGGGUAGCAAUACCCAGUGGCGGACGGGUGAGUAACACGUGGGAAUCUGCCUUGAGCUGGGGGAUAGCAGACCGAAAGGUCUAUUAAUACCGCAUAUGUGUAUGUCUCGACAGGGGCAUACAUGAAAGGAGCAAUCCGUCUUAAGAUGAGCCCGCGUCCGAUUAGCUAGUUGGUAGGGUAAUGGCCUACCAAGGCGACGAUCGGUAGGUGGUCUGAGAGGAUGAUCACCCACAAUGGGACUGAGACACGGCCCAUACUCCUACGGGAGGCAGCAGUGGGGAAUUUUGUGCAAUGGGCGAAAGCCUGACACAGCGACACCGCGUGAGCGAAGAAGCCCUUUGGGGUGUAAAGCUCUGUCAGCUGGAACGAAACAAAUGACGGUACCAGCAGAGGAAGCAUCGGCUAACUACGUGCCAGCAGCCGCGGUAAGACGUAGGAUGCGAGCGUUGUCCGGAUUUAUUGGGCGUAAAGAGUUCGUAGGUGGUUUGUUAAGUUCGAUGUUAAAGAUCGAGGCUCAACCUCGGGAGUGCAUUGAAUACUGGCAGACUUGAGUGCGGUAGAGGCUAGUGGAAUUCCCAGUGUAGCGGUGAAAUGCGUAGA